Molecule: long non-coding RNA, 510 nt
Filed under: Apteryx owenii (little spotted kiwi)
Lineage: Eukaryota; Metazoa; Chordata; Aves; Apterygiformes; Apterygidae
Description: lncRNA (ENSAOWG00000007005.1)
Source: RNAcentral
AAGGUGGCCCCCAGGACUCCUGGGUGCUGGGAAAUCCAUGGUGACCUCUCCCCAGGCAAAGGGGCCACCCUGGGAGGCCAGCAUCUGAAGGGGAAGCACAGGGCACCCCUGUCUGAAGAAGGCCGAGGUGUUGUGCCCCUCCGUUGGGGUUCGAGAGGCUGCCUGAAAUGCCCGUGUUGGAAACCCACCGCUUCCCUUUCCAUGAGCCCAGCUCAGCUCAGAGCCUGACAUGUCUUCUCCUUGCUUUCCAGAUGUCGUGACAAUUUGGGACAGCGUGGCUGAGUACAUGCUAGAUCAGUUUGCACUCAACAAGGGUGUGGCCAUAGAUGCCUUUGGCACUUUCUAUGUCCUGAGACAGCACAGCAGCGAGGUGAACAGGGAUGUGAUCGCACCAAGGUUUCACCUGUGUGAGAGAGCUGCGUGGGCUCAUGGCAUCAGCUAUGCCAACAGAGACAUUCCUGGUGAUCUUGAAGUUGUCCCCCUGGACUAUUCUCUGUUGUCAUCAAAGAC